CGCUUGAAUUUUGUAAAAUCGCGGCGUGCGCUGUUCAGCCAAGGUGAUUCUUGGUGCAUUCAGAGCAAAAAAUGUCGCUCCUCUCCGUCAGUUCUCUUGCGAGCUUGCACCUUCACGGUGUGAGUUGCCGCAGCGGGGGACUGAGGGCUUCCCUCAAAAAAAUUUUUUUUUUAGGUCGAGGACGGUGGGGUUGUCUAUGUCGAUGCGAUCCGACCCGUCUUGAAACACGGACCAAGGAGUCUAGCGUGCCUGCGAGUCGUAGGGUCUCGACACCUGAGGGCGCAGUGAAAGCAAUUUGUGUAAACAGCAGAUUGAGGCGGCAUACGAUCGUUGAUUGUAAGUCUGACCUAGAGCAGGUAUGCUAGGACCCGAAAGAUGGUGAACUAAUCCGGAGUAGGGCAAAGCCAGAGGAAACUCUGGUGGAGGCUCGUAGCGGUGCUGACGUGCAAAUCGCUCGUCAAACUUGGGUAUAGGGGCGAAAGACUAAUCGAACCAUCUAGUAGCUGGUUUCCUCCGAAGUUUCUCUCAGGAUAGCAGGCCAUGUUAUAAAAACGCUGUUGUGUGCGGUAAAGCGAAUGAUUAGCGUACUCGGGGGCGUUCCGCCUUUGGACGAUUCUCAAACUUUAAAUGCGCACGGAUGUUGCUGCUUCGGUGAGCGACAUCGGCAAAAGCGAUGGCUUUGUGGGCCAAUUUUGGUAAGCAGAACUGGCGAUACGGGAUGAACCGCAAGCGUGGUUAAGGCGCCAAAUUGCCCGCUUAUAGAUCCCAAAAAAGGUGUUGAUUCAUCCAGACAGCAGGACGGUGGCCAUGGAAGUCGGAAUCCGCUAAGGAGUGUGUAACAACUCACCUGCCGAAUGAAUUAGCCCUGAAAAUGGAUGGCGCUCAAGCGGGCAGCCGACACCACGCCGUCUGGACUAGUUCAUCUUGUCCAGAUGAGUAGGAGGACGUGGCGGUCGUAUGGAAGCGUGUGCGCGAGCGCGCGUGGAACGGCCGCCAGUGCAGAUCUUGGUGUUAGUAGCAAAUAUUCAAACGAGAACCUUGAAGGGCGAAGCGGGGAAGGGUUCCACGCGUACAUUGAUUGGGUGUGGGUGAGUCGUUCCUAAGCCGAAAGACAAUUCCUAAUUACACAAACGGCGAAAGGGAAGCAGGUUGACAUUCCUGCACACGGAUGUGGACGCGGUGACGCGCUUUUUUCUGGGGCAGUGAAGCUGGCCGUGGCACUGGGCAGAGUUGUCUUUUCUGUUUGACCGCUCGGGCAUCGUGUGGAAUCCGCUUGUCGGGAGAAACACAUGCUGACGGGCAGAGCGC
This 1308-nucleotide ribosomal RNA is filed under the name Caloglossa leprieurii. RNAcentral's name for it is "LSU rRNA". It matches the Rfam family "Eukaryotic large subunit ribosomal RNA", at positions 503 to 1766 of the family's 3401-position model. Lineage: Eukaryota; Rhodophyta; Florideophyceae; Ceramiales; Delesseriaceae. The record is from RNAcentral.